Molecule: ribosomal RNA, 635 nt
Filed under: uncultured bacterium
Lineage: Bacteria
Description: bacterial SSU rRNA
Rfam family: Bacterial small subunit ribosomal RNA
Source: RNAcentral
GAUGAACGUUGGCGGUGUGCCUAAUACAUGCAAGUCGAACGGAGACUGUAGCAAUACUGUCUUAGUGGCGAACGGGUGAGUAACGCGUUGGUGAUCUGCCUCGAAGUGUGGAAUAACCUCCCGAAAGGGAAGCUAAUACCGCAUAGUCUCUCAAGGUUUAGAAAAUUGAGAGUAAAGGAUUUAUUCGCUUCGAGAGGAGCCUGCGUCCCAUCAGCUAGUUGGUAGGGUAACGGCCUACCAAGGCAAUGACGGGUAGGGGACCUGAGAGGGUGGCCCCCCACAAUGGAACUGAAACACGGUCCAUACACCUACGGGUGGCAGCAGUAGGGAAUAUUAGAAAUGGGCGGAAGCCUGAUCUAGCAACACCGCGUGUGCGAUGAAGGCCUUCGGGUCGUAAAGCACUUUUUGGAGGGAAUAGGAAGGAAGGUACCUCCAGAAUAAGUCUCGGCUAACUACGUGCCAGCAGCCGCGGUAACACGUAGGUGGCAAACGUUAUCCGGAUUCACUGGGCGUAAAGCGCGUGCAGGUGGUUUCGUAAGUAGGGCGUGAAAGCUCCCGGCUCAACUGGGAGAGGCCGUACUAAACUGCGGAGCUAGAGGAUGGUAGAGGGAAGGUGGGAAUUCCAGGUGUAGUGG